UGGGGUGUUGCCUAGAGCGCAGAUGAUGGGUUGCAGUAGUGCAAGCCAUACCCUGUAAUAAUGAGCAAUCACCGUGUAGUCGAUUUUACAGACGACGACAACAAGGUGAAUGAACAGGUUAUAGGUUGAGGCCACGGAAAGCAAGCACACCAGAAAACGUCCCAAGCCAUUUGGUUAAAUGUGCGGGAUACAUGAUCAGGUUAUGAUGGAUUCUGCAGCU
This is a long non-coding RNA of Lolium rigidum, 220 nucleotides long. RefSeq lists it as uncharacterized. NCBI's taxonomy places the organism in Eukaryota, Viridiplantae, Streptophyta, Magnoliopsida, Poales, Poaceae. The transcript has 3 exons. The record is from RefSeq and is a predicted model, not a curated record.